GCCAGACUCCUACGGGAGGCAGCAGUGAGGAAUAUUGGGCAAUGGAGGCAACUCUGACCCAGCCAUGCCGCGUGAGUGAAGAAGGUUUUCGGAUUGUAAAGCUCUUUCGGAUGUGACGAUGAUGACGGUAGCAUCUAAAGAAGCCCCGGCUAACUUCGUGCCAGCAGCCGCGGUAAUACGUAGGGAGCGAGCGUUGUCCGGAAUUACUGGGUGUAAAGGGAGCGUAGGCGGGGAUGCAAGUUGGGUGUCAAAACUACCGGCUCAACUGGUAGUCGCACUCAAAACUGCAGCUCUUGAGUGAAGUAGAGGCAGGCGGAAUUCCUAGUGUAGCGGUGAAAUGCGUAGAUAUUAGGAGGAACACCAGUGGCGAAGGCGGCCUGCUGGGCUUUUACUGACGCUGAGGCCCGAAAGUGUGGGGAGCAAACAGGAUUAGAUACCCCCGUA
RNAcentral lists this ribosomal RNA (444 nucleotides) under uncultured bacterium. Its description in RNAcentral is "partial 16S ribosomal RNA". It matches the Rfam family "Bacterial small subunit ribosomal RNA", at positions 330 to 792 of the family's 1533-position model. The record is from RNAcentral.